Pelobates cultripes (western spadefoot toad) is the source of this 98-nucleotide non-coding RNA. The record is from the annotation of a GenBank genome assembly. Lineage: Eukaryota; Metazoa; Chordata; Amphibia; Anura; Pelobatidae.
GUGCCACUAUGUGCCAGUUUGUGUGUGUGUGUGUGUGUGUAUCUGUGUGUCAGAUACAUACACACACACACACACACACACACACACAGAUACAUAUU